Molecule: non-coding RNA, 109 nt
Submitted as: unclassified sequences
Source: Rfam
AAUCUCUUGUAAACUUGGAGAAACGGGUCUAAUCACCUUACCGAGGCUAUCCAAGUAAAAUACGCCUCUCAUACCUGUGGCGGAGGGUGUCACAGGAAUAUUAAUACUA